CACAAUACCAAGACUGACCCCACUAAUACCACAAUACCAGGACUGCCCCUUCAUACCACAAUACCAAGACUGUCCCCACUAAUACCACAAUACCAAGACUGUCCCCACUAAUACCACAAUACCAAGACUGUCCCCACUAAUACCACAAUACCAAGACUGACCCCACUAAUACCACAAUACCAGGACUGCCCCCACUAAUACCACAAUACCAGGACUGCCCCCACUAAUACCACAAUACCAG
This is a non-coding RNA of Pelobates cultripes (western spadefoot toad), 241 nucleotides long. NCBI's taxonomy places the organism in Eukaryota, Metazoa, Chordata, Amphibia, Anura, Pelobatidae. The record is from the annotation of a GenBank genome assembly.